UAAGUUUUCGGUUAAAUCUGAACGCUCAACGUACAAGCUGCCGGGAAUACUGCAGAGCUAGGGAGUGGGAGAGGUAGACGGUACUCGGGAGGAAGUGGUAAAAUGCUUUGAUCUCUCGAUGACCACCUGUGGCGAAGGCGGUCUACCAGAACAUGUCCGACGGUGAGGGAUGAAAGCUGGGGGAGCAAACCGGAUUAGAUACCCGGUUAGUCCCAGCUGUAAACUAUGCAAACUCAGUGAUGCAUUGGCUUGUGGCCAAUGCAGUAUUGCAGGGAAGCCGUUAAGUUUGCCGCCUGGGAAGUACGUACGCAAGUAUGAAACUUAAAGGAAUUGGCGGGGGAGCACCACAAGGGGUGAAGCCUGCGGUUCAAUUGGAGUCAACGCCAGAAAUCUUACCCGGAGAGACAGCAGGAUGAAGGUCAAGCUGAAGACUUUACCAGACAAGCUGAGAGGUGGUGCAUGGCCGCCGCCAGCUCGUGCCGUGAGACGUCCUGUUAAGUCAGGUAACGAUCGAGAUCCCUGCCUCUAGUUGCCACCAUUACUCUUAGGAGUAGUGGGGCGAAUUAGCGGGACCGCCGCAGUUAAUGCGGAGGAAGGAAGGGGCCACGGCAGGUCAGUAUGCCCCGAAACUCUGGGGCCACACGCGGGCUGCAAUGGUAAUGACAAUGGGUUCCGAAUCCGAAAGGAGGAGGUAAUCCCCAAACAUUACCACAGUUAUGACUGAGGGCUGCAACUCGCCCUCACGAAUAUGGAAUCCCUAGUAACUGCAUGUCAUUAUCGCGCGGUGAAUACGUCCCUGCUCCUUGCAC
RNAcentral lists this ribosomal RNA (809 nucleotides) under uncultured marine archaeon. RNAcentral describes it as "bacterial SSU rRNA". It matches the Rfam family "Archaeal small subunit ribosomal RNA", at positions 534 to 1342 of the family's 1478-position model. The record is from RNAcentral.